CUCGUAGGCGGCUCGGUAAGUUGGGUGUGAAAACUCCAGGCUCAACCUGGAGAGGCCACUCAAUACUGCCGUGGCUAGAGUUCGGUAGAGGAUCGUGGAAUUUCUGGUGUAGCGGUGAAAUGCGCAGAUAUCAGAAGGAACACCAACGGCGAAGGCAGCGAUCUGGGCCGAUACUGACGCUGAGGAGCGAAAGCGUGGGGAGCGAACA
Molecule: ribosomal RNA, 208 nt
Filed under: uncultured bacterium
Lineage: Bacteria
Description: partial 16S ribosomal RNA
Rfam family: Bacterial small subunit ribosomal RNA
Source: RNAcentral